UAAGGAAUAUUGGUCAAUGGACGCAAGCCUGAUCCAGCCAUGCCGCGUGGGUGAAGAAGGCCUUCGGGUUGUAAAGCCCUUUUGUUGGGGAAGAAAUCGUGCAGGUGAAUAUCCUGCGCGGAUGACGGUACCCAAAGAAUAAGCACCGGCUAACUUCGUGCCAGCAGCCGCGGUAAUACGAAGGGUGCAAGCGUUACUCGGAAUUACUGGGCGUAAAGCGUGCGUAGGCGGUUCGUUAAGUCCGUUGUGAAAGCCCUGGGCUCAACCUGGGAAUUGCAGUGGAUACUGGCGAGCUAGAGUACGGUAGAGGAUGGUGGAAUUCCCGGUGUAGCGGUGAAAUGCGUAGAGAUCGGGAGGAACACCCGUGGCGAAGGCGGCCAUCUGGACCAGUACUGACGCUGAGGCACGAAAGCGUGGGGAGCAAACA
This 427-nucleotide ribosomal RNA is filed under the name uncultured bacterium. RNAcentral's name for it is "bacterial SSU rRNA". It matches the Rfam family "Bacterial small subunit ribosomal RNA", at positions 355 to 774 of the family's 1533-position model. The record is from RNAcentral.